GGUGCGGUGGCGAAGAGGCUAACGCUGCGGACUGCAAAUCCGCCAUCCGUCGGUUCAAAUCCGACCCGCACCUCCA
Molecule: transfer RNA, 76 nt
Filed under: Thermanaerosceptrum fracticalcis
Lineage: Bacteria; Bacillati; Bacillota; Clostridia; Eubacteriales; Peptococcaceae
Also listed under: 1 other name
Description: Thermoanaerosceptrum fracticalcis tRNA-Cys
Rfam family: tRNA
About the family: Transfer RNA (tRNA) molecules are approximately 80 nucleotides in length. Their secondary structure includes four short double-helical elements and three loops (D, anti-codon, and T loops).
Source: RNAcentral